AUACGUAGGGGGCGAGCGUUGUCCGGAAUGAUUGGGCGUAAAGGGCGCGUAGGCGGCCCGGUAAGUCUGGAGUGAAAGUCCUGUUUUUAAGAUGGGAAUUGCUUUGGAUACUGUCGGGCUUGAGUGCAGGAGAGGUAAGUGGAAUUCCCAGUGUAGCGGUGAAAUGCGUAGAGAUUGGGAGGAACACCAGUGGCGAAGGCGACUUACUGGACUGUAACUGACGCUGAGGCGCGAAAGUGUGGGGAGCAAACAGGAUUAGAUACCCUGGUAGUCCACACUGUAAACGAUGGAUACUAGGUGUGCGGGGACUGACCCCCUGCGUGCCGGCGUUAACACAAUAAGUAUCCCACCUGGGGAGUACGAUCGCAAGGUUGAAACUUAAAGGAAUUGACGGGG
Molecule: ribosomal RNA, 396 nt
Filed under: uncultured bacterium
Lineage: Bacteria
Description: partial 16S ribosomal RNA
Rfam family: Bacterial small subunit ribosomal RNA
Source: RNAcentral